Molecule: ribosomal RNA, 553 nt
Filed under: Vibrio harveyi
Lineage: Bacteria; Pseudomonadati; Pseudomonadota; Gammaproteobacteria; Vibrionales; Vibrionaceae
Description: bacterial SSU rRNA
Rfam family: Bacterial small subunit ribosomal RNA
Source: RNAcentral
CACGCCGUAAACGAUGUCUACUUGGAGGUUGUGGCCUUGAGCCGUGGCUUUCGGAGCUAACGCGUUAAGUAGACCGCCUGGGGAGUACGGUCGCAAGAUUAAAACUCAAAUGAAUUGACGGGGGCCCGCACAAGCGGUGGAGCAUGUGGUUUAAUUCGAUGCAACGCGAAGAACCUUACCUACUCUUGACAUCCAGAGAACUUUCCAGAGAUGGAUUGGUGCCUUCGGGAACUCUGAGACAGGUGCUGCAUGGCUGUCGUCAGCUCGUGUUGUGAAAUGUUGGGUUAAGUCCCGCAACGAGCGCAACCCUUAUCCUUGUUUGCCAGCACUUCGGGUGGGAACUCCAGGGAGACUGCCGGUGAUAAACCGGAGGAAGGUGGGGACGACGUCAAGUCAUCAUGGCCCUUACGAGUAGGGCUACACACGUGCUACAAUGGCGCAUACAGAGGGCGGCCAACUUGCGAGAGUGAGCGAAUCCCAAAAAGUGCGUCGUAGUCCGGAUCGGAGUCUGCAACUCGACUCCGUGAAGUCGGAAUCGCUUAGUAAUUCGUGG